UUAAAAAGCUCGUAGUUGAAUUUCGGGGUCAGUAGGUCGGUCGUGCCACUGGUAUGAACUGGUUUUACUGAUUCCUCCCUCUUGAAGAACUGUAAUGCCAUUAAUUUGGUGUUGCAGGGAAUCAGGACCGUUACUUUGAAAAAAUUAGAGUGUUUAAAGCAGGCUUUAGCUUGAAUACAUUAGCAUGGAAUAAUGAAAUAGGACGUUUGAUCCUAUUUUGUUGGUUUCUAGGAUUGACGUAAUGAUUAAUAGGGAUAGUUGGGGG
This 265-nucleotide ribosomal RNA is filed under the name uncultured Glomeromycotina. Its description in RNAcentral is "partial 18S ribosomal RNA". It matches the Rfam family "Eukaryotic small subunit ribosomal RNA", at positions 619 to 888 of the family's 1831-position model. The record is from RNAcentral. Lineage: Eukaryota; Fungi; Glomeromycota.